RNAcentral lists this ribosomal RNA (253 nucleotides) under uncultured bacterium. RNAcentral describes it as "partial 16S ribosomal RNA". It matches the Rfam family "Bacterial small subunit ribosomal RNA", at positions 524 to 776 of the family's 1533-position model. The record is from RNAcentral.
UACGAAGGGGGCUAGCGUUGUUCGGAAUUACUGGGCGUAAAGCGCACGUAGGCGGACUAUUAAGUCAGGGGUGAAAUCCCCGGGCUCAACCCGGGAACUGCGUCCGAUACUGGAAGGCUUGAAUCCGGGAGAGGGAUGCGGAAUUCCAGGUGUAGCGGUGAAAUGCGUAGAUAUCUGGAGGAACACCGGUGGCGAAGGCGGCAUCCUGGACCGGCAUUGACGCUGAGGCGCGAAAGCCAGGGGAGCAAACGGG